Molecule: ribosomal RNA, 355 nt
Filed under: uncultured eukaryote
Lineage: Eukaryota
Description: SSU rRNA
Rfam family: Eukaryotic small subunit ribosomal RNA
Source: RNAcentral
AGCUCUCGUAAUGUAUAGAAUUAUUGUUGCGGUUAAAAAGUUCGUAGUUGGAUUUCAUACCACUUGCAGGUAGUGUUUAACGAUGCUUACUUGCGGUGGUGUUUACAUCGAGUCGAGUUCACUUGGCUAGAUGUGGAUUACUUUGAACGGCUUAAGUGCUCAAGGCGAGUCUUCGGACUGAAUACCGGUGCAUGGAAUAAUGGAACAAGGUUUCGGCUGAGUUUUAUUGGUUUUGUCGGCAGAGACAAUGGUUAACAGGAACAGCUGGGGGCACUCGUAUCCCGGCGCGAGAGGUGAAAUUCGUGGACCGUCGGGAGACGCCCUAAAGCGAAGGCAUUUGCCAAGAGUGUUUUCA